UUUUUAUGAAUUUCAGCACAACUUUGUCCGAAUUUGAAAUGAAAACUGGUAUUGGUUGGUACAGAAUUGGUCUUAGGUGUAAACACGAAGGUUGUAGGUAUAAAUGUUAGCUUUCUAAUGCCGUUGGUUUGACUUCAAAAGGAUUUAUAGAACUUGAGUUAUGGUCAAAUUACUGCACGUAGGUCUUAGUGAAUUUUUAUGAAUUUCAGCACAACUUUGUC
This 221-nucleotide long non-coding RNA is filed under the name Medicago truncatula (barrel medic). Its description in RNAcentral is "lncRNA gene40898". The record is from RNAcentral. Lineage: Eukaryota; Viridiplantae; Streptophyta; Magnoliopsida; Fabales; Fabaceae.